CAAAAAUACAAGAUAAAAGCUGAAAAUUCUGUUCAGAAGCCUUUUUGUUAGUGCAUUGUGCUCUCAUUAUGCCUGCUCUGAUGACAGCAGUAAUGUGGGUGCUUCUACCCCUUGCUCUGUUUACCUCAGUUGCUAUGCCCAGCAAGAAGGAAAAAAGCCAUGGGAGGCAGAAGAAACUCAGAACAUUUUAUGGGAGGUGGCAUAGCAGGCUUUGAAGAGGCAGUCCUGAGGACAAAUCCUGUGAAUGCUUUUCAUAAGAACCAGAGCAGGAAGAAGAGCACAUAGGUCCUUUGUGGUGACGCCAGAGGACCAGCUUAUAGAGCUGGUUAAGGUAUCCCUUCCAGGACUCUCAGAAAAACCUAGCAGGUGCAUGGAACAGUGGGGAGCUGAGGGGCAGGACUGAGAUCAAAUGAUCACAUUCUGGGCAGAGGAACCACGGAAUCUGAGAAGGAAGCUAUAUGCCCUACCUGAAGAUCAAGAAAGCAGAGGGGAAUUCUUCAACUGAUCUAAUCUCCAGGGGGACCAAAGAGAAAUUCUCCGGAGCUAGUCCUUUUUUUCAGUGUGCAACAUAACAGCACUGUAGCUAAAUCAUUAGCAAAAGUAAGCAGAAGACAGUUUGACACACACAAAUCAUCACGAUAAUAGGUGCUAUUAUUUUCUUCAAAAAUUAAGUUUAUUUUCUUGUUCAUUAUCUACCUUCUCCCUCUAGAAGGAAAGCUCCAUGGGAACAGAAAUGUUGCCUUUCCCAUUCACCCAGUAUCUUCAGCACCAAGAACAGGACUCAUGCAGAAAGGGUACCUCAAACAUAUUUGUUAAAUAAACACAAAUUGAAUCCAACUGGCA
Molecule: long non-coding RNA, 843 nt
Filed under: Vulpes vulpes (red fox)
Lineage: Eukaryota; Metazoa; Chordata; Mammalia; Carnivora; Canidae
Description: lncRNA (ENSVVUG00000001036.1)
Source: RNAcentral